GUCUUCUUCUUUGCAAGUUAUUUACAUCUGUUUUUUAUUUAAUUACUAUUUACCCAUAUCAUAUUUAUUAAAUUUUUUUUAAGGAACUUGUAAGUGUUGAAUAAACAAUCCGAGAAUUUUUAUUACAAUAUGAGAAAAAAGUCAUCUGUUGGGAGAAGUUUGAAAGCCUUGUUGGCAAUAUCAUUUUUUUGUAUGUAUUUUGUUUGUUUCAUUAUUGUUGAUGCAGUUAUUUAUGUUGGUGGUG
This 244-nucleotide long non-coding RNA is filed under the name Capsicum annuum. RNAcentral's name for it is "long non-coding RNA (CANN_LNC003299)". Lineage: Eukaryota; Viridiplantae; Streptophyta; Magnoliopsida; Solanales; Solanaceae. The record is from RNAcentral.